AACAAACGCUGGCGGCGUGCCUAAUACAUGCAAGUCGAACGGGGAAAGCUUUCGGGUGAGUACUAGUGGCGCACGGGUGAGGAACGCGUGGAUAAUCUGCCUUAGAGUGGGGGAUAACUAGUCGAAAGAUUAGCUAAUACCGCAUAAGACCACGAGAGCUGCGGCUUUUGAGGUCAAAGGUUUUUCGCUCUAAGAUGAGUCCGCGUAAGAUUAGCUAGUUGGUGAGGUAACGGCUCACCAAGGCGACGAUCUUUAACUGGUCUGAGAGGAUGAUCAGUCACACUGGAACUGAGACACGGUCCAGACUCCUACGGGAGGCAGCAGUAGGGAAUAUUGCACAAUGGAGGAGACUCUGAUGCAGCGACGCCGCGUGAGUGAUGAAGGCCUUCGGGUCGUAAAGCUCUGUCGCAGGGGAAUAACACAAUGAAGGUACCCUGUAAGAAAGGAUCGGCUAACUUCGU
RNAcentral lists this ribosomal RNA (461 nucleotides) under uncultured bacterium. RNAcentral describes it as "partial 16S ribosomal RNA". It matches the Rfam family "Bacterial small subunit ribosomal RNA", at positions 29 to 506 of the family's 1533-position model. The record is from RNAcentral.